CAUCUCUAAUAGACCUUUCGAUUUUUUUGAGAGCACACCUGAGAGAUCAGAUGAGCUGCCCAAUGGUCACAACACAGAACCGAUUAAGUAAAUGAUGACAAGGUACAUGUCUGUAUGUCUAUGUGUAUAGUAUAAAAUACAUAUUUGUGUAAGUACAAUGUUACUUAUUGAAAGUUUGUGUAGAUGUCAAAACGGAAAUAUAAGAAAUACCUGGAGCCUGGCAAUGUGUCCAUCAUACCAGCCAAAACCAGACAAAGGCUUGAGAAGAUGGCUGGUUUUGAGGUGGAAAGCAUUAAGGAGACAAAUUUGGACCUGUUGGUUACUGACCAGAGUUGUUCAGCUACAGAUGACUCCUUUUCAGAUAUAAAUGAGGUUUCUUCAGAUUCAGAGGAGGAAGAUCAAUUAAGGAUAAACAACCACAAUGUUGACCACAGCUCAAUGGACUCUGGACAGAUCCACAAAGACACAGACAAGACCCCCUGUCACAUGUCUGAUUCAGAGGAGGAAGAUGAAUCGAUGAUAAGCAACCACAAUGCUGACAACAGCUCAAUAGACCCAGAGCAGAUCAACACAGACACAGACAAGACCCCUUCUAACAUGUCUGAUUCAGAGGUAUUUUAUUCACUUGUUGCAGCUGGCAUAAACUUAUCUGGGCAGUUAAAAAAGGGCUAAAUCACUACA
This 681-nucleotide long non-coding RNA is filed under the name Danio rerio (zebrafish). RNAcentral describes it as "lncRNA (ENSDARG00000117561.1)". Lineage: Eukaryota; Metazoa; Chordata; Actinopteri; Cypriniformes; Danionidae. The record is from RNAcentral.